RNAcentral lists this ribosomal RNA (439 nucleotides) under uncultured Acetoanaerobium sp. RNAcentral describes it as "bacterial SSU rRNA". It matches the Rfam family "Bacterial small subunit ribosomal RNA", at positions 338 to 795 of the family's 1533-position model. Lineage: Bacteria; Bacillati; Bacillota; Clostridia; Peptostreptococcales; Filifactoraceae. The record is from RNAcentral.
CCUACGGGCGGCUGCAGUGGGGAAUAUUGCACAAUGGGCGAAAGCCUGAUGCAGCAACGCCGCGUGAGCGAUGAAGGCCUUCGGGUCGUAAAGCUCUGUCCUAUGGGAAGAUAAUGACGGUACCAUAGGAGGAAGCCCCGGCUAACUACGUGCCAGCAGCCGCGGUAAUACGUAGGGGGCAAGCGUUAUCCGGAAUUACUGGGCGUAAAGGGUGCGUAGGCGGUUUAUCAAGUCAGGGGUGAAAGGCUACGGCUCAACCGUAGUGAGCCUCUGAAACUGGUGAACUUGAGUGUAGGAGAGGAAAGUGGAAUUCCCAGUGUAGCGGUGAAAUGCGUAGAUAUUGGGAGGAACACCAGUGGCGAAGGCGACUUUCUGGACUACAACUGACGCUGAGGCACGAAAGCGUGGGGAGCAAACAGGAUUAGAUACCCCAGUAGUC